RNAcentral lists this long non-coding RNA (576 nucleotides) under Homo sapiens (human). RNAcentral's name for it is "non-protein coding lnc-DCP1B-4:3". The record is from RNAcentral. Lineage: Eukaryota; Metazoa; Chordata; Mammalia; Primates; Hominidae.
ACUGCCGCUUGAUCACCAGGGAUCCUCAGCAGUGCAGCACCAGGAUGAGGGCUUGACUCGUCUCCUGGAGGGGCAUGUCCAACCCCACCCGAGAUGUCUGACCUGCAAUAGGCAUUUCCCAGCUAGCUCAGCUCUGCAGGGCAGCCAAUUUCUGCCUUCUUGACGGCGACCAGGUGGCUGCUGCAGGAGCUGGUGCUGUGAGUGGGGGUAGACACGGGGCUGGUGGAGGGCUGCAUGCGAGGGUGGCUUAGGAGGGUGUCCUUGAGCAGGAGGCUGCAAGGUCUCCAGGACAACCCACUUGCUACCAGACCCCGGGGAAGGAGGGCACAAUCCCUGGGCAUGGACGCCACCUCUUCCCUGCAUGCUGCCCCUGGGAGGGACCUCAUUGCUCAACCAGAGCCCUCAAGCAGGGAAGAGGGUGUCCUGGAGGAGAGGGGAUGGGCCGGGGGCUGUCAGGGAUACUCCAGCUCCUUGGGAACCCAAGUCGGGAGGGCUCAGAGGUCUCCGAGAUUCAGUCCUGUGUCUGACAGGUUCCUGCUGGAGUGGAGUGUCUGGGGCUCCUGGUACGACAGAGGG